RNAcentral lists this ribosomal RNA (500 nucleotides) under uncultured bacterium. RNAcentral's name for it is "partial 16S ribosomal RNA". It matches the Rfam family "Bacterial small subunit ribosomal RNA", at positions 30 to 523 of the family's 1533-position model. The record is from RNAcentral.
AUUGAACGCUGGCGGAAUGCUUUACACAUGCAAGUCGAACGGCAGCACGGACUUCGGUCUGGUGGCGAGUGGCGAACGGGUGAGUAAUGUCUGGGAAACUGCCCGAUGGAGGGGGAUAACUACUGGAAACGGUAGCUAAUACCGCAUAACGUCGCGAGACCAAAGUGGGGGACCUUCGGGCCUCACACCAUCGGAUGUGCCCAGAUGGGAUUAGCUAGUAGGUGGGGUAAUGGCUCACCUAGGCGACGAUCCCUAGCUGGUCUGAGAGGAUGACCAGCCACACUGGAACUGAGACACGGUCCAGACUCCUACGGGAGGCAGCAGUGGGGAAUAUUGCACAAUGGGCGCAAGCCUGAUGCAGCCAUGCCGCGUGUAUGAAGAAGGCCUUCGGGUUGUAAAGUACUUUCAGCGGGGAGGAAGGCGGUGAGGUUAAUAACCUCGCCGAUUGACGUUACCCGCAGAAGAAGCACCGGCUAACUCCGUGCCAGCAGCCGCAGUAA